Acanthosepion pharaonis is the source of this 96-nucleotide non-coding RNA. NCBI's taxonomy places the organism in Eukaryota, Metazoa, Mollusca, Cephalopoda, Sepiida, Sepiidae. The record is from the annotation of a GenBank genome assembly.
GUUGAAACACCGGUUCCCGUACGCUCACCAAAGUUAAGCAACGUCGAACCAGGCAAGUACCUAUAUGGGUGACCGCUUGGGACGGCCAGGUACUGU